UCAAGCUACAAAGAGCACAAGGGGAAUGCCUUGGCACCGAGAGCCGAAGAAGGACGUGACUAACUGCGAUAAGCUGCGGGGAGCCGUAAGUAGGCUUUGAUCCGCAGAUUUCCGAAUGGAGCAAUCCGGCAAGAGGAAAGUCUUGUCAUCAUAUACUGAAUACAUAGGUAUAUGAGGGGAACCGCCUGAACUGAAACAUCUAAGUAGGGCGAGGAAGAGAAAUCAACUGAGAUUCCGUAAGUAGUGGCGAGCGAACGCGGAAGAGGCCAAACCGAGAGUAGUAAUACUUUCGGGGUUCGGACAGAAUACGGCAUUGUAAAGGUUUAGUGGAAUGGAAUGGGAAGUCCAACCGAAGAAGGUGAGAGUCCUGUACACGAAAAGCCUGAACAGCCAUCUGUAUCCAGAGUACCGCCGGACACGUGAAACCCGGUGGGAAUACGGGGGGACCAUCCUCCAAGCCUAAAUACUACUCGGUGACCGAUAGUGAAGAAGUACUGUGAAGGAAAGGUGAAAAGUACCCCUGACGGGGAGUGAAAAAGAACCUGAAACCUUGUGUUUACAAGCACCGAAAGCUCAUCAAAGAGCGAUCGGGUACCUUUUGUAGAAUGGUCCGGCGAGUGAAUGUAACCGGCGAGGUUAAGCACUUAAGGUGUGAAGCCGCAGCGAGAGCAAGUCUGAAUAGGGCGUAUGAAGUCGGUUGUAUUCGACCCGAAACCGGGUGACCUACCCAUGGUCAGGUUGAAGUAAAGGUAAAACUUUAUGGAGGACCGAACCGACUCCCGUUGAAAUGGUAGCGGAUGAACUGUGGGUAGCGGAGAAAUUCCAAUCGAACCCGGAGAUAGCUGGUUCUCUCCGAAAUAGCUUUAGGGCUAGCCUUGAAAUAGAUUACCGGAGGUAAAGCACUGAAUUGGCUAGGGGCCGAGAGGUUACUGAACCUUAUCAAACUAAGAAUGCCGGAUAAUCGUUUUUCAGGAGUCAGACAGUGGGAGAUAAGUUUCAUUGUCAAAAGGGAAACAGCCCAGACCCACAGCUAAGGUCCCCAAGUAUAGUUAAGUGGAAAAGGAUGUGGAAUUGCACAGACAACCAGGAUGUUGGCUUAGAAGCAGCCACUCAUUAAAAGAGUGCGUAAUAGCUCACUGGUCGAGUGACUCUGCGCCGAAAAUUUAACGGGGCUAAACUAUACACCGAAGCUUGGGAUACAUCUAAUGUAUGGUAGGAGAGCGUUCUGUAUGGGGAGAAGUCGUAGCGAAAGCGGCGGUGGACUAUACAGAAGUGAGAAUGCCGGAAUAAGUAGCGAGAAUUAAGUGAGAAUCUUAAUGGCCGAAAGUCUAAGGUUUUUGGAGGAAGGUUCGUCCGCUCCAAGUAAGUCGGGAGCUAAGGUCAGGCCGAAAGGCGUAGCCGAUGCACAUACGGUUGAUAUUCCGUAACCAUCUGUAAUUUAAGCAAAGGGACACUUCAAAAGGGUGUGACCCGGGCGUUGGUUGACCCGGGCGUAAGGGACCGAAAUUAGAGUAGGGAAGCACACUUAGCUGAAGGCGAGAAAAGCUUUGCGUAUAGAAACAGAUGCCCGUACCGCAAACCGACACAGGUGGACAGGAAGAGAAUUCUAAGGCCAGCGGGAGAAGGGUAGUUAAGGAACUCGGCAAAUUGACUCCGUAACUUCGGAAUAAGGAGUGCUCGAAAGAGCCGCAGAGAAUAGGCCCAGGCGACUGUUUAGCAAAAACACAGGUCUCUGCCAAAUCGAAAGAUGAAGUAUAGGGGCUGACACCUGCCCGGUGCCGGAAGGUUAAGAGGAGGAGUGAGAGCUCCGAAUUGAAGCCCCGGUAAACGGCGGCCGUAACUAUAACGGUCCUAAGGUAGCGAAAUUCCUUGUCGGGUAAGUUCCGACCCGCACGAAUGGUGUAACGAUCUGGGCACUGUCUCAACUACCC
RNAcentral lists this ribosomal RNA (1931 nucleotides) under human gut metagenome. Its description in RNAcentral is "bacterial LSU rRNA". It matches the Rfam family "Bacterial large subunit ribosomal RNA", at positions 3 to 2030 of the family's 2925-position model. The record is from RNAcentral.